GGAGAGGUGACCGAGCUGGCCGAAGGUGCGCGACUGGAAAUCGCGUGUGCCCCAAAAGGGUACCGUGGGUUCGAAUCCCACCCUCUCCGCCA
Molecule: transfer RNA, 92 nt
Filed under: Candidatus Omnitrophota bacterium
Lineage: Bacteria; Pseudomonadati; Candidatus Omnitrophota
Description: tRNA-Ser
Rfam family: tRNA
About the family: Transfer RNA (tRNA) molecules are approximately 80 nucleotides in length. Their secondary structure includes four short double-helical elements and three loops (D, anti-codon, and T loops). Further hydrogen bonds mediate the characteristic L-shaped molecular structure. tRNAs have two regions of fundamental functional importance: the anti-codon, which is responsible for specific mRNA codon recognition, and the 3' end, to which the tRNAs corresponding amino acid is attached (by aminoacyl-tRNA synthetases). tRNAs cope with the degeneracy of the genetic code in two manners: having more than one tRNA (with a specific anti-codon) for a particular amino acid; and 'wobble' base-pairing, i.e. permitting non-standard base-pairing at the 3rd anti-codon position.
Source: RNAcentral